UACGUAGGGUGCAAGCGUUGUCCGGAAUUAUUGGGCGUAAAGAGCUCGUAGGCGGUUUGUCGCGUCUGCCGUGAAAGUCCGGGGCUCAACUCCGGAUCUGCGGUGGGUACGGGCAGACUAGAGUGAUGUAGGGGGAGACUGGAAUUCCUGGUGUAGCGGUGAAAUGCGCAGAUAUCAGGAGGAACACCGAUGGCGAAGGCAGGUCUCUGGGCAUUAACUGACGCUGAGGAGCGAAAAGCAUGGGGAGCGAACAGG
RNAcentral lists this ribosomal RNA (255 nucleotides) under uncultured bacterium. RNAcentral's name for it is "partial 16S ribosomal RNA". It matches the Rfam family "Bacterial small subunit ribosomal RNA", at positions 524 to 776 of the family's 1533-position model. The record is from RNAcentral.